Ictalurus punctatus (channel catfish) is the source of this 919-nucleotide long non-coding RNA. Lineage: Eukaryota; Metazoa; Chordata; Actinopteri; Siluriformes; Ictaluridae. The record is from Ensembl.
GGAUUUUUCAUAUGUGGUCCUGUAAAUACGUUACUGCUAACGCUAGGCAGUUAGCUCAUGCUAACCCAAAGCCCUGAUUACUUAGCUUCUUCUGCCCAGGUUUGUGUUUUUGCAUGAUCAGUUAGUCCACAAUAGAAAAUGAUGAUGUUUCUUGUGUUUGCAAAAGCAUUUUAUUUGUAAAAAAAAACAAAAAAACAACAACAACAACAAAAAAAACUUAAUAUCAUCCUCAUGUCUUCUCUUUUACUGUAAUUACAGUUUCUCUUUCUGCCACAGGGUGUCACUGAUCAUGUUCUCUAUUCGCGAUACGGACCAGUGGGUCGUCAGAUCCCUUCUCAGUGUGUGUGUGUGUGUGUGUGUGUGUGUGUGUGUGUGUGUUUUUUAAAUGUCAGCAAGACCUGAUUGUUAGACACAGUGACUCUCCUGCAUCAUUAGGUAACACAGUACACCAGUACUCAAACACACUCACACACUUUCCUCACAAAUAUUUGUGAUUUAAACUUUGAUUCUAAACUAUGACUUUUAACUAGCAUGCUAAUUAUCAUAUACGUCUUGCUACAGCGAUAACUUCCACAGCGCUGCUGAAUUCUGGAUUCUGAUUGGUCCGAAGGCGUUGAUUCAUUUUCUAUAACGGCAGCUCUGACAGUAGCACAGCUCCAAAUCACAGGUUUAUGUUAAUUGUCAGAGCCAUAUCGACGUGUAGUUCUCAUCUGGUGUCUCAUUGAAUCCUGGCCAGUACCUGGAUGGGAAACCUCCUGGGGAAAACUAAGGUCGCUGCUGGAAGUGGUAUUAGUGAGGCCAGCAGGGGGCACUGACCCUGUGGUCUGUGGGACAGGGACACUAUACUGUAAAAACAGCACCGUCUUUCGGAUGAGACGUUAAAACCGAGGUCCUGACUCUCUGUGGUCAUGAAAAAUCC